This 635-nucleotide ribosomal RNA is filed under the name uncultured bacterium. RNAcentral describes it as "bacterial SSU rRNA". It matches the Rfam family "Bacterial small subunit ribosomal RNA", at positions 57 to 687 of the family's 1533-position model. The record is from RNAcentral.
GCAGUCGAGCGGUAGAGAGGUGCUUGCACCUCUUGAGAGCGGCGGACGGGUGAGUAAAGCCUAGGAAUCUGCCUGGUAGUGGGGGAUAACGCUCGGAAACGGACGCUAAUACCGCAUACGUCCUACGGGAGAAAGCAGGGGACCUUCGGGCCUUGCGCUAUCAGAUGAGCCUAGGUCGGAUUAGCUAGUUGGUGAGGUAAUGGCUCACCAAGGCGACGAUCCGUAACUGGUCUGAAAGGAUGAUCAGUCACACUGGAACUGAGACACGGUCCAGACUCCUACGGGAGGCAGCAGUGGGGAAUAUUGGACAAUGGGCGAAAGCCUGAUCCAGCCAUGCCGCGUGUGUGAAGAAGGUCUUCGGAUUGUAAAGCACUUUAAGUUGGGAGGAAGGGCAUUAACCUAAUACGUUAGUGUUUUGACGUUACCGACAGAAUAAGCACCGGCUAACUCUGUGCCAGCAGCCGCGGUAAUACAGAGGGUGCAAGCGUUAAUCGGAAUUACUGGGCGUAAAGCGCGCGUAGGUGGGUCGUUAAGUUGGAUGUGAGAUCCCCGGGCUCAACCUGGGAACUGCAUUCAAAACUGUCGAGCUAGAGGUAUGGUAGAGGGUGGUGGAAUUUCCUGUGUAGCGGUGAAAU